GAUGAAGAACGUAGCGAAAUGCGAUACGUAGUGUGAAUUGCAGAAUUCAGUGAAUCAUCGAAUCUUUGAACGCACAUUGCGCCCGCCAGUAUUCUGGCGGGCAUGCCUGUUCGAGCGUCAUUACAACCCUCAGGCCCCCGGGCCUGGCGUUGGGGAUCGGCGGAAGCCCCCUGCGGGCACAACGCCGUCCCCCAAAUACAGUGGCGGUCCCGCCGCAGCUUCCAUUGCGUAGUAGCUAACACCUCGCAACUGGAGAGCGGCGCGGCCACGCCGUAAAACACCCAACUUCUGAAUGUUGACCUCGAAUCAGGUAGGAAUACCCGCUGAACUUAAGCAUAUCAAUAAGCGGAGGA
Molecule: unclassified non-coding RNA, 353 nt
Filed under: soil metagenome
Description: partial contains 5.8S ribosomal RNA, internal transcribed spacer 2, and large subunit ribosomal RNA
Rfam family: 5.8S ribosomal RNA (bases 1-120)
Source: RNAcentral